GAUGAACGCUGGCGGCGUGCAUAACACAUUCAAGUCGAACGGAGCUUUAGAGAUUAAUCCUUCGGGAAGCGUUUUUAAAGCUUAGUGGCGGACGGGUGAGUAACGCGUGAGCAACCUGCCUGUGAUAGCGGGAUAACACAUGGAAACGUGUGCUAAUACCGCAUGAAGCAUCAAUACUGCAUGGUGAAGAUGUUAAAGAGAAAUCGAUCACAGAUGGGCUCGCGUAUGAUUAGAUAGUUGGUGAGGUAACGGCUCACCAAGUCUGCGAUCAUUAGCCGAACUGAGAGGUUGAACGGCCACAUUGGAACUGAGAAACGGUCCAG
This 323-nucleotide ribosomal RNA is filed under the name uncultured bacterium. Its description in RNAcentral is "bacterial SSU rRNA". It matches the Rfam family "Bacterial small subunit ribosomal RNA", at positions 28 to 334 of the family's 1533-position model. The record is from RNAcentral.